This 65-nucleotide non-coding RNA is filed under the name Elusimicrobiota bacterium. RNAcentral describes it as "Elusimicrobia bacterium Li+-I sequence". It matches the Rfam family "nhaA-I RNA". From Rfam's summary of the family: Acidobacteria, Alphaproteobacteria, Betaproteobacteria and Gammaproteobacteria, Verrucomicrobia, cand. division NC10. Downstream gene The record is from RNAcentral. Lineage: Bacteria; Pseudomonadati; Elusimicrobiota.
GGGUUCAGGGGCAUGAAGUUUAUGUCCCUGGAGGAUAAGCAAAUUAGAUGGUCGGGCCGCCAUCG